This is a long non-coding RNA of Cyprinus carpio (common carp), 402 nucleotides long. The record is from Ensembl. NCBI's taxonomy places the organism in Eukaryota, Metazoa, Chordata, Actinopteri, Cypriniformes, Cyprinidae.
GCCAUCCACAUAUCCAACAUAAAAGAGGCCCUGGUGCUAUCACUGGUGCAGAUAUUCCCGGCCCUGAAUGAUGGAUCAGACAGUGGCUAUGAAAUAUGGUACACAAAAGCCAGGAAGGUAAUGAAGGAUGGAGGAGUGAUCCACUACCCAGCCACAAGCUUCCUCGAAGAAAGACUAUGGAACGUUAGAAAGAGGUCAAACCGUGGGUCCACCCAACAAAUGCCUGAAGCCACCCAGUCACCAAGGGCAUACAUACCAGAAUCAACCGUUCCAGAAGAAAGGGCCCUCCAACAGAAGGAAUGGCUGAAACACAAUUCAGAGCCUUUCACCCAAGUGCAGUCCUACAUGAAGGACACAGUGUUAUGCAGACCCAGCUGGAUCCGGGCUAAUGGCUGCACCUAA